Molecule: unclassified non-coding RNA, 295 nt
Filed under: Erysiphe polygoni
Lineage: Eukaryota; Fungi; Ascomycota; Leotiomycetes; Helotiales; Erysiphaceae
Description: partial internal transcribed spacer region
Rfam family: Eukaryotic small subunit ribosomal RNA (bases 1-46)
Source: RNAcentral
AAGUCGUAACAAGGUUUCCGUAGGUGAACCUGCGGAAGGAUCAUUACAGAGUGCGAGGCUCAGUCGUGGCGUCUGCUGCGUGCUGGGCCGACCCUCCCACCCGUGUCGAUUUGUAUCUUGUUGCUUUGGCGGGCCGGGCUACGUCGUCGCUGUCCGCAGGGACACGCGUCGGCCGCCCACCGGUUUCGACUGGAGCGCGCGCGCCAAAGACCCAACCAAAACUCAUGUAGUCUGUGUCGUCUUAGCUUUAUAAUGAAAAUUGAUAAAACUUUCAACAACGGAUCUCUUGGCUCUG